CACUCUAGAGAGACUGCCAGGGAUAACCUGGAGGAAGGUGGGGAUGACGUCAAAUCAUCAUGCCCCUUAUGCUUAGGGCUACACACGUGCUACAAUGGGUAGUACAGAGGGUUGCCAAGCCGUAAGGCGGAGCUAAUCCCUUAAAGCUACUCUCAGUUCGGAUUGUAGGCUGAAACUCGCCUACAUGACGCUGGAGUUACUCGUAAUCGAAGAUCAGAAUGCUGCGGUGAAUGCGUUCCCGGGUCUUUGCCACACCCCCCGUCACCCCCAGGGAGAUGGAGGCGCCCGAAGCCGAUUAUCUAACCUUUUGGAAGAAGUCGUCGAAGGUGGAAUUAAUAACUGGGGUGAAGUCGUAACAAGGUAGCCGUAUCGGAAGGUGCGGCUGGAUCACCUCCUUUCUAAGGAGA
Molecule: ribosomal RNA, 407 nt
Filed under: Clostridioides difficile
Lineage: Bacteria; Bacillati; Bacillota; Clostridia; Peptostreptococcales; Peptostreptococcaceae
Description: bacterial SSU rRNA
Rfam family: Bacterial small subunit ribosomal RNA
Source: RNAcentral